GACGAACGCUGGCGGCGUGCUUAACACAUGCAAGUCGAGCGGUAAGGCCCUUCGGGGUACGACGAGCGGCGAACGGGUGAGUAACACGUGGGUGACCUGCCCUUAGCUCUGGGAUAAGCCUGGGAAACUGGGUCUAAUACCGGAUAUGACUCCAUGACGCAUGUUGUGGGGUGGAAAGCCUUGUGCGGCUAGGGAUGGGCCCGCGGCCUAUCAGCUUGUUGGUGGGGUGAUGGCCUACCAAGGCGACGACGGGUAGCCGGCCUGAGAGGGCGACCGGCCACACUGGGACUGAGACACGGCCCAGACUCCUACGGGAGGCAGCAGUGGGGAAUCUUGCGCAAUGGGCGAAAGCCUGGCGCAGCGACGCCGCGUGGGGAUGACGGCCUCGG
This 389-nucleotide ribosomal RNA is filed under the name uncultured bacterium. Its description in RNAcentral is "bacterial SSU rRNA". It matches the Rfam family "Bacterial small subunit ribosomal RNA", at positions 28 to 420 of the family's 1533-position model. The record is from RNAcentral.